RNAcentral lists this ribosomal RNA (464 nucleotides) under uncultured bacterium. RNAcentral's name for it is "bacterial SSU rRNA". It matches the Rfam family "Bacterial small subunit ribosomal RNA", at positions 26 to 507 of the family's 1533-position model. The record is from RNAcentral.
AGGACGAACGCUGGCGGCGUGCCUAACACAUGCAAGUCGAACGGAGUUAAGACUUCGGGACUCGACUUAGUGGCGAACGGGUGAGUAACGCGAGAGAAACCUACCUUUCAGUGGGGGACAACAGUUGGAAACGACUGCUAAUACCGCAUGAUGUAUUCGGAGGGCAUCCUUUGAAUACCAAAGCUUUAUGUGCUGAAAGAUGGUCUCGCGUCUGAUUAGCUAGUUGGUGGGGUAACGGCUCACCAAGGCGACGAUCAGUAGCCGGUCUGAGAGGAUGAACGGCCACAUUGGGACUGAGACACGGCCCAAACUCCUACGGGAGGCAGCAGUGGGGAAUAUUGCACAAUGGGGGAAACCCUGAUGCAGCGACGCCGCGUGAGUGAUGAAGUAUUUCGGUAUGUAAAACUCUAUCAGCAGGGAAGAUAAUGACGGUACCUGACUAAGAAGCUCCGGCUAAAUACGUG